GUCUUGGUCUGUAAUUCAUCAUCUUCAUUUUGGAAGUUGACCUGCUGAUCAAUAAAGCAGAAGCUUGGUGUUUUUAUUUUUCCUUUUAUGCAAUAAAUUUGCAUAGUAGCAUGACCGCUGGGAUCUUUGGUAGAUAGAGGAAUAGGCCAAAAAAUGAGUCUGAUAGGUGGUGACCCUUUCAUCUUUUCACAGGAUCACGGGGCCAUGAGCCAGAGGAGAUGUGAGAGGUAAACCUUCCAGGUCUUAAGGGGCUUUUUCUGACAUGGAAGUCGGGGUCAUGUUAAGUACUGAGUGAUGACGAGAAAGAUAAAGAUGAUUCAAUCCUGGAAGUCCAAAUGUAAUGAUAUGUUGGUUCCUUUUAUCACAGACGUCCAUUGUGACCAUGGCAGGCUGCUCUGCACCACACUGUUGCCACUUGCAGCAACUGGAACAAGGCUUGACAUGGAUCAGCAUGGCACUGACUGCUGUGAUGAAAGAUGAGUUCUGUAACCAUACCAGAGACGAUGCAUGUCCGACAGCUGGUGUGCAAGAGUAUGUGCAAAACCUCUUGGUCCAGUCCUCAGCUGCUAUGAAUUCCAGUUGUAAGUACAAUUGAAAUAUUUAAAAAUAAAAAUAAAUUAAACAAAAGGGAUUAAAAAAAGGAAACAAACAAACAAGCAACCUCAGAGCAACGUGAUUAAAAUUAGAGCUAAUUAAAAUCUUCUGGUUAAGAAAAAAAACCCAUCUUCUGGCCUUAAUGUGUGUGCAGAGAAGCACAGCUACAACAUAAACAAUAGGAAAGAAGCCUUGGAUUAAAAAUCCUUUGUUUCUCUUGAAGAGGUCUCUUCUGACUUCAUUUACUUGAAAUGAAAACCUUCUACAAAUGGAGAAGCGAUUUGGAAAUAUUUGAAGCCACAGACAAAGUUUUAUUUUUUAAAACAUAUUUAAAAAUCGCACAGAUAUAAAUACAGAUAAAUAAAUACAAUUUAUUAUGUGGAAAAGAACCCAAGGAAGGCAUGCUUCCAU
This is a long non-coding RNA of Tympanuchus pallidicinctus (lesser prairie-chicken), 1005 nucleotides long. RefSeq lists it as uncharacterized. The record is from RefSeq and is a predicted model, not a curated record. Lineage: Eukaryota; Metazoa; Chordata; Aves; Galliformes; Phasianidae. The transcript has 3 exons.